Regulatory RNA element from Lactobacillus acidophilus NCFM, 119 nucleotides. It matches the Rfam family "PyrR binding site". Rfam says of the family: This family represents the PyrR binding site and terminator structure. This RNA structure is found upstream of a variety of genes involved in pyrimidine biosynthesis and transport. NCBI's taxonomy places the organism in Bacteria, Bacillati, Bacillota, Bacilli, Lactobacillales, Lactobacillaceae. The record is from Rfam.
AUGACCUUUAAAAUUAGUCCCGUGAGGCUAAGAAGGAAAUCUGCGUGUGCUAGUCUUUUUUGUGCUAGCAGAAACAGAAAGACCAUCUUGGACUCAGUGUCCUUGGUGGUCUUUUUCUU